AACGCACAUUGCACUCCUUGGUAUUCCGAGGAGUACGCCUGUUCGAGCGUCAUUCAACAUCAAGUCUACUUGGUUUUGAAGUUUGUUCACUCAAACUUUUAAUGACGUCGGUCAAUGAGCCAUAGUGAUGACUCGCUCGUGCUCAUUCGACCUCAACACCUUUUGCAAUCUGUUGACCUCGGAUCAGGCGGGGAUACCCGCUGAACUUAA
RNAcentral lists this unclassified non-coding RNA (210 nucleotides) under uncultured fungus. Its description in RNAcentral is "partial contains 5.8S ribosomal RNA, internal transcribed spacer 2, and large subunit ribosomal RNA". The record is from RNAcentral. Lineage: Eukaryota; Fungi.